Molecule: non-coding RNA, 1271 nt
Organism: Chrysemys picta bellii (western painted turtle)
Lineage: Eukaryota; Metazoa; Chordata; Testudines; Emydidae
Source: RefSeq, a predicted model, not a curated record
GCGGCUCCGCACCCGGGACGGACGUGGGCAGGGCUCAGUAGAGACACUGCUGGGGCAUAGCAGCGUCUGUGCCUGCGGUUGACGCCAUGUCAGUGGUCACUAUGGCAACGCUGCCUGUGCAGCAUACUGAGGUGCGAGCCAUGACAGCGCCAGUGUAGACAGGAAUAUUCCCAAGGGUCCAGCAGAGACUGGAAGCAUGAGAGGGAAGACCAUGAGCCGUGCCCUGCCUGGACAGCUGCAGCUGGUACGGCCCAGGGCGGCAGGACAUUGCCUGGAAUAUAGCUACUGAGUGAGCGGGAGAGAGACUUACAGCAGAAGUGGUUGAAAGGAGUGAAAGGAUAUGAGUUUGCAAGGUGGAAUGACUACAGAAAGGACAGGUCAGGGAUGGGUUGCGUACAAGGCCUCAUUGCUAAAAGAACAGCACAAGCAUGUAGGGACAAAGGGUAAUUGGGCUGGAGUUAAACCUGCAGCAAGAAGGGACUCAUCUUCUGACACUACCAGAAAGCGAACCCUUCCAGGAAGUUUCUUCAUUAAGCUGUUUCCAUCAGAGAAGAUCUGCCGAAAGAGAAGGUUUCCUUCUCAGUUUGGCUAUUGAUGCUCAGUUUGGCAGCUCCCAGUGCUUUCAAUAUAGAAAUGUUACAUGAAUUGUGAUUCUGCAUCUCCCUGGCAUGCAGCUGCAGGAAUGAAGCAUGUUCCCUGUUGAACAUUGUCCCCAGCCCUUACCCAGCACAUCUUGCUUUAGCUCCUCAAUUCUCCCAGCAUUGAGUAAGUGAAAAGGCAGUUCGCUUAGCUUCCUCCGAUUUGCAACGGUAUCAGAGAACCAGAGUGGCUGAGGUGCUACCUGGUAAAGGGAGAAACAGGAGGUGAUCAAGGAGAACUCAGGCGAGAUACAGAACCAACUAAGGAGGAGGGAACUGGAUGCAGAGGAAAGAGAGAUUCCAUGUUUCAGAGGAGAAGCUGUGCACAGAAGAGGAGACUGGACUCCUUAAAGACCUCAGACCUAAGCAUGAAGAACACUCAAGAGUGGUGAGGAAAUGAGAUCCAUCAAAAAGAUUUGGCAACACCCUGCACCACCAUGUGGGAGUGACAUACAGGAACGAUGGCGGAGGGUGAUUUGAAAACUGCCCGUCAGAGAUGGGCCACAAAGCUCAUCUCCACGCUCUACUGGGAAGAGAGCAAUGACUGCACAAUUACCCUGCAGUCACUUCGUUAGCUUUAUCUAAACUCCAGCUUGGUAAUUUAUGGAGGGACAGGAAAUGGUACUUACUUGC